AUUUGACCGAAGUACAUGAUUCCAUGCUUCCAAGAAAAGCAUCUAGAGAGAGAAGUAGUGCCCGUACCGCAAACCGACACAGGUAGAUGAGGAGAGAAUCCUAAGGCCGGCGGAAGAAUUGCAGUUAAGGAACUAGGCAAAUUGACCCCGUAAGUUCGCGAGAAGGGGUGCCUGCGAGAGCAGGCCGCAGAGAAUAGGCCCAAGCAACUGUUUAGCAAAAACACAGGUCUCUGCUAAAGCGCAAGCUGAUGUAUAGGGGCUGACGCCUGCCCGGUGCUGGAAGGUUAAGGGGAACACUUAGCGCAAGCGAAGGUGUGAACUUAAGCCCCAGUAAACGGCGGCCGUAACUAUAACGGUCCUAAGGUAGCGAAAUUCCUUGUCAGGUAAGUUCUGACCCGCACGAAUGGCGUAAUGACUUGGGCACUGUCUCAACUGCAAAUCCGGCGAAGUUGUAGUGCGAGUGAAGAUGCUCGCUACCCGCGAUUGGACGGAAAGACCCCGUAGAGCUUUACUGCAGCUUAGCAUUGAAUCUCGGUAUUGUCUGUACAGGAUAGGUGGGAGACUGGGAAACUAGGGCGUCAGCCUUAGUGGAGUCACCCUUGGGAUACCACCCUGACAGUACUGGGGUUCUAACAGGACGCCAUGAAUCUGGUGACUGGACAUUGUUAGGUGGGCAGUUUGACUGGGGCGGUCGCCUCCUAAAAAGUAACGGAGGCGCCCAAAGGUUCCCUCAGAACGGUCGGAAAUCGUUCGAAGAGUGCAAAGGCAGAAGGGAGCCUGACUGCGAGACCUACAAGUCGAGCAGGGACGAAAGUCGGGCUUAGUGAUCCGGUGGUACCUCGUGGGAGGGCCAUCGCUCAACGGAUAAAAGCUACCUCGGGGAUAACAGGCUGAUCUCCCCCAAGAGUCCACAUCGACGGGGAGGUUUGGCACCUCGAUGUCGGCUCGUCGCAUCCUGGGGCUGUAGUAGGUCCCAAGGGUUGGGCUGUUCGCCCAUUAAAGCGGCACGCGAGCUGGGUUCAGAACGUCGUGAGACAGUUCGGUCCCUAUCCGUCGCGGGCGUAGGAAAUUUGAGAGGAGCUGUCCUUAGUACGAGAGGACCGGGAUGGACUGACCUCUGGUGUACCAGUUGUUCUGCCAAGAGCAUAGCUGGGUAGCUAAGUCGGGAAGGGAUAAACGCUGAAAGCAUCUAAGCGUGAAGCCUACCUCAAGAUGAGAUUUCCCAUAGCAUAAGCUAGUAAGACCCCUUGAAGAACACAAGGUUGAUAGGUCAGAGGUGUAAGU
This 1284-nucleotide ribosomal RNA is filed under the name Clostridium hominis. Its description in RNAcentral is "partial 23S ribosomal RNA". It matches the Rfam family "Bacterial large subunit ribosomal RNA", at positions 1579 to 2874 of the family's 2925-position model. The record is from RNAcentral. Lineage: Bacteria; Bacillati; Bacillota; Clostridia; Eubacteriales; Clostridiaceae.